This 310-nucleotide ribosomal RNA is filed under the name uncultured Bacillus sp. RNAcentral's name for it is "bacterial SSU rRNA". It matches the Rfam family "Bacterial small subunit ribosomal RNA", at positions 1083 to 1397 of the family's 1533-position model. Lineage: Bacteria; Bacillati; Bacillota; Bacilli; Caryophanales; Bacillaceae. RNAcentral also lists the same sequence under 1 other name. The record is from RNAcentral.
AGUCCGCACGAGCGCACCCUUGAUCUUAGUUGCCAGCAUUCAGUUGGGCACUCUAAGGUGACUGCCGGUGACAAACCGGAGGAAGGUGGGGAUGACGUCAAAUCAUCAUGCCCCUUAUGACCUGGGCUACACACGUGCUACAAUGGGCAGAACAAAGGGCAGCGAAGCCGCGAGGCUAAGCCAAUCCCACAAAUCUGUUCUCAGUUCGGAUCGCAGUCUGCAACUCGACUGCGUGAAGCUGGAAUCGCUAGUAAUCGCGGAUCAGCAUGCCGCGGUGAAUACGUUCCCGGGCCUUGUACACACCGCCCGU